RNAcentral lists this ribosomal RNA (301 nucleotides) under uncultured bacterium. Its description in RNAcentral is "partial 16S ribosomal RNA". It matches the Rfam family "Bacterial small subunit ribosomal RNA", at positions 509 to 809 of the family's 1533-position model. The record is from RNAcentral.
CAGCAGCCACGGGAAUACGAAGGGUGCAAGCGUUACUCGGAAUUACUGGGCGUAAAGCGUGCGUAGGUGGUGGUUUAAGUCCGUUGUGAAAGCCCUGGGCUCAACCUGGGAAUUGCAGUGGAUACUGGGUCACUAGAGUGUGGUAGAGGAUAGUGGAAUUUCCGGUGUAGCAGUGAAAUGCGUAGAGAUCGGAAGGAACAUCUGUGGCGAAGGCGACUAUCUGGGCCAACACUGACACUGAGGCACGAAAGCGUGGGGAGCAAACAGGAUUAGAUACCCCAGUAGUCCCUGUCUCUUAUAA